UGGGGAAUAUUGCGCAAUGGGGGAAACCCUGACGCAGCAACGCCGCGUGAGUGAUGAAGGCCUUCGGGUUGUAAAGCUCUUUCGGUUGGGAAGAAGGGUGUAUUGACUAAUAAUCAAUACAUUUGAUGGUACCAAAAGAAGAAGCACCGGCAAACUUCGUGCCAGCAGCCGCGGUAAUACGAAGGGUGCGAGCGUUGUUCGGAAUUACUGGGCGUAAAGGGUUCGUAGGCGGGAAUGCAAGUCAAGUGUGAAAUCCCCGAGCUUAACUUGGGACGUGCAUUUGAGACUGUGUUUCUUGAGUUUCGGAGAGGGUGGUGGAAUUGCUGGUGUAGGAGUGACAUCCGUAGAGAUCAGCAGGAACACCGGAGGCGAAGGCGACCACCUGGCCGAAUACUGACGC
Molecule: ribosomal RNA, 400 nt
Filed under: uncultured bacterium
Lineage: Bacteria
Description: bacterial SSU rRNA
Rfam family: Bacterial small subunit ribosomal RNA
Source: RNAcentral